Molecule: ribosomal RNA, 570 nt
Filed under: Natrinema salaciae
Lineage: Archaea; Methanobacteriati; Methanobacteriota; Halobacteria; Halobacteriales; Natrialbaceae
Description: bacterial SSU rRNA
Rfam family: Archaeal small subunit ribosomal RNA
Source: RNAcentral
CUGGGCAAGACCGGUGCCAGCCGCCGCGGUAAUACCGGCAGCACAAGUGAUGACCGCUAUUAUUGGGCUAAAGCGUCCGUAGCUGGCCUCACAAGUCCAUCGGGAAAUCCGCGCGCUCAACGCGCGGGCGUCCGGUGGAAACUGUGUGGCUUGGGACCGGAAGAUCCAGAGGGUACGUCCGGGGUAGGAGUGAAAUCCCGUAAUCCUGGACGGACCACCGGUGGCGAAAGCGCUCUGGAAAGACGGAUCCGACGGUGAGGGACGAAAGCUUGGGUCACGAACCGGAUUAGAUACCCGGGUAGUCCAAGCUGUAAACGAUGUCUGCUAGGUGUGACACAGGCUACGAGCCUGUGUUGUGCCGUAGGGAAGCCGUGAAGCAGACCGCCUGGGAAGUACGUCCGCAAGGAUGAAACUUAAAGGAAUUGGCGGGGGAGCACUACAACCGGAGGAGCCUGCGGUUUAAUUGGACUCAACGCCGGACAUCUCACCAGCAUCGACAAUGUGCAGUGAAGGUCAGUGUGAUGAGCUUACCGGAGCCAUUGAGAGGAGGUGCAUGGCCGCCGUCAGCUC